This 329-nucleotide unclassified non-coding RNA is filed under the name Hevea brasiliensis (rubber tree). The record is from RNAcentral. Lineage: Eukaryota; Viridiplantae; Streptophyta; Magnoliopsida; Malpighiales; Euphorbiaceae.
GUCCUAGUGCCGGUCCGGCCCAUAUGUUGGGUUGUGACAACUAUUGGGAAUAAUUUGCUGGAAUUAAGUUGAGGUAAGUGUUUGUCAAAUUUAUUAGCAAAAAUUAUUACUUUAUGCAUCAUUGAAUGGUAACUGCCAAUAUAGUAUAUCCAGUUAGCAAUCUAUAUUAAUUUGGCUAUAAGUUGAGUUGUAGAGCUCCAAUUGAGAUAUAAUUCUUAUUACAAGUUAUGAAAAUUACGGGUAACGCUCCCAGUUCAGCUGUUAUGCUACUGGAUUGGGGGUUGUUACAGAUUCUUUGUUACCUGAGGUGUUGAAAUUUUGUGAUAAAU